GCCGGGCGCGGUGGCGCGCGCCUGUAAUCCCAGCUACUCGGGAGGCUGAGGCUGGAGGAUCGCUUGAGCUCAGGAGUUCUGGGCUGCAGUGCGCUAUGCCGAUCGGGUGUCCGCACUAAGUUCGGCAUCAAUAUGGUGACCUCCCGGGAGCGGGGGACCACCAGGUUGCCUAAGGAGGGGUGAACCGGCCCAGGUCGGAAACGGAGCAGGUCAAAACUCCCGUGCUGAUCAGUAGUGGGAUCGCGCCUGUGAAUAGCCACUGUACUCCAGCCUGGGCAACAUAGCGAGACCCUGUCUCU
Molecule: unclassified non-coding RNA, 299 nt
Organism: Capra hircus (goat)
Lineage: Eukaryota; Metazoa; Chordata; Mammalia; Artiodactyla; Bovidae
Rfam family: Metazoan signal recognition particle RNA
About the family: The signal recognition particle (SRP) is a universally conserved ribonucleoprotein. It is involved in the co-translational targeting of proteins to membranes. The eukaryotic SRP consists of a 300-nucleotide 7S RNA and six proteins: SRPs 72, 68, 54, 19, 14, and 9.
Source: Ensembl